RNAcentral lists this long non-coding RNA (255 nucleotides) under Nicotiana benthamiana. RNAcentral's name for it is "long non-coding RNA (NBEN_LNC001333)". Lineage: Eukaryota; Viridiplantae; Streptophyta; Magnoliopsida; Solanales; Solanaceae. The record is from RNAcentral.
UUCUAUUUUAACGAAUUAGCCGGGACAAUGAGUUUGGAUUAAAUAAAAAAAGAAUGUGGUCCUUACCAAGGGUUUGGAGGAUGGGAGGUUUGUCCCUAUCCAAAUUAUAUGGUUGUUGGAUCUUUUGGUUACUAUCUGGUUGUUGAAAUUCUGGCUCUAAACCUUCCUACCCACAUUAUCUCUUCCCACCAAAGGUUGUUGAAGAUGGUCCCACUAGUUUAGUAUAAUAUUUGGAGCUUUAGCAUAUUCUUUUUC